AUGCAGUGGCGGGUGCUAAUACAUGCAAGUCGAGCGGACAGAAGGGAGCUUGCUCCCGGAUGUUAGCGGCGGACGGGUGAGUAACACGUGGGUAACCUGCCUGUAAGACUGGGAUAACUCCGGGAAACCGGAGCUAAUACCGGAUAGUUCCUUGAACCGCAUGGUUCAAGGAUGAAAGACGGUUUCGGCUGUCACUUACAGAUGGACCCGCGGCGCAUUAGCUAGUUGGUGGGGUAAUGGCUCACCAAGGCGACGAUGCGUAGCCGACCUGAGAGGGUGAUCGGCCACACUGGGACUGAGACACGGCCCAGACUCCUACGGGAGGCAGCAGUAGGGAAUCUUCCGCAAUGGACGAAAGUCUGACGGAGCAACGCCGCGUGAGUGAUGAAGGUUUUCGGAUCGUAAAGCUCUGUUGUUAGGGAAGAACAAGUGCGAGAGUAACUGCUCGCACCUUGACGGUACCUAACCAGAAAGCCACGGCUAACUACGUGCCAGCAGCCGCGGUAAUACGUAGGUGGCAAGCGUUGUCCGGAAUUAUUGGGCGUAAAGGGCUCGCAGGCGGUUUCUUAAGUCUGAUGUGAAAGCCCCCGGCUCAACCGGGGAGGGUCAUUGGAAACUGGGAAACUUGAGUGCAGAAGAGGAGAGUGGAAUUCCACGUGUAGCGGUGAAAUGCGUAGAGAUGUGGAGGAACACCAGUGGCGAAGGCGACUCUCUGGUCUGUAACUGACGCUGAGGAGCGAAAGCGUGGGGAGCGAACAGGAUUAGAUACCCUGGUAGUCCACGCCGUAAACGAUGAGUGCUAAGUGUUAGGGGGUUUCCGCCCCUUAGUGCUGCAGCUAACGCAUUAAGCACUCCGCCUGGGGAGUACGGUCGCAAGACUGAACUCAAAGGAAUUGACGGGGGCCCGCACAAGCGGUGGAGCAUGUGGUUUAAUUCGAAGCAACGCGAAGAACCUUACCAGGUCUUGACAUCCUCUGACAACCCUAGAGAUAGGGCUUUCCCUUUCGGGGGACAGAGUGACAGGUGGUGCAUGGUGUCGUCAGCUCGUGUCGUGAGAUGUUGGGGUUAAGUCCCCGCAACGAGCCGCACCCCUUUGAUCUUAGUUGGCCAGGCAUUUAAGUUGG
Molecule: ribosomal RNA, 1124 nt
Filed under: Bacillus pumilus
Lineage: Bacteria; Bacillati; Bacillota; Bacilli; Caryophanales; Bacillaceae
Description: bacterial SSU rRNA
Rfam family: Bacterial small subunit ribosomal RNA
Source: RNAcentral